GAUCAGCAUUAGGUUGGGGUAUACAAGACGGGUAUGCAUCGGAACUCCCACCAGGUAAGCUUGUAAAGGUGAUUCCCUUUUC
This 82-nucleotide non-coding RNA is filed under the name unclassified sequences. Its description in RNAcentral is "HTH-XRE RNA". It matches the Rfam family "HTH-XRE RNA". The record is from RNAcentral.